Physeter macrocephalus (sperm whale) is the source of this 6952-nucleotide RNA transcript. It is a transcript of the gene named family with sequence similarity 120 member B, with no coding region annotated. The record is from RefSeq and is a predicted model, not a curated record. The transcript has 14 exons. NCBI's taxonomy places the organism in Eukaryota, Metazoa, Chordata, Mammalia, Artiodactyla, Physeteridae.
CGCCCGAGCGGAAGCGGAAGUGCGCGGCGGCUGCGGCGGGCCGAGGGCUACGCGGGCGUGUCUCCGGCUGUGCUGGCGCAUCUCUAGAUCCUUUCCAGGAGGUCAGUUAUGGGUGUGAGAGGCUUACAGGGAUUUGUGAGAAGUAGCUGCCCACUUGUAUGUAUGGUAGUAAAUUUCAAAGAGCUGGCAGAGCACCACCGAAGCAGGCAUCCUGGAGGCACCCCUACCGUUGUGGUCGACGCCAUGUGUUGCCUCAGAUACUGGUACACGCCGGAAUCGUGGGUCUGUGGUGGCCAGUGGCGGGAAUACUUUUCUUCUUUGCGAGAAUUUGUGAAAACUUUUACAGCUGUUGGCAUCAAGUUGGUAUUCUUCUUUGAUGGCAUGGUGGAGCAGUCCAAGAGAGACGAGUGGGUGAAACGAAGACUCAAGAACAACAGGGAGAUAGCCAAGAUCUUCCAUUAUAUCAAGUCCCACAGGGAGCAGCCUGGCAGAAACAUGUUCUUCAUCCCCUCAGGGCUGGCCAUAUUUACGCAGUUUGCUUUGAAGGCCCUGGGUCAGGAAACUCUGUGUUCGUUACAGGAGGCCGACUAUGAGGUGGCUUCCUAUGGCCUCCAGAACAACUGUCUUGGGAUUCUUGGAGAAGACACUGACUAUUUAAUUUAUGACACCUGUCCCUACUUUUCCAUCAGUGAGCUCUCCCUGGACAGUCUGGACACCGUCAUGCUCUGCCGAGAGAAGCUCUGUCAGAGCCUUGGUCUCAGCCUGUCUGACCUUCCUCUUCUGGCCUGCCUGCUUGGCAACGACAUCAUCCCAGAAGGCAUGUUCGAAAGCUUUCGUUACAAGUGCUUGUCUUCUUAUACCUCUGUGAAAGAGAACUUUGACAAAAAAGGUAACAUUAUCUUAGCUGUAGCAGACCACAUAUCUAAAGUUCUUCGGUUGCAUCAAGGUGAGAAGAAGCUGGAAGAGAUGUUACCUUUGGGGCCAAACAAAGCUCUUUUUAAUAAAGGAGUGGCAUCAUAUCUUUUGCCAGGACAGAAAUCUCCAUGGUUUUUUCAAAAACCUAAAGGUGUAGUAACUUUGGACAAGCAGGUACUAUCCAUGAGUUCAGAUCCUAAAUCCAAGCAAGAAGUUCCCGUGUGUACACACCCUGAGUCCAAGCAAGAAGUUCCCAUGUGUACAGACUCUGAAUCCAAGCAAGAAGUUCCUUUGUGUACACACCCUGAAUCCAAACAAGAGGUUCCCAUGUACACAGACCCUGAAUCCAAACAAGAAGUUGCCAUGUGUACACACCCUGAAUCCAAACAAGAAGUUCCCAUGUGUACACACCCUGAAUCCAAGCAAGAAGUUCCCGUGUGUACAGAUCCUGAAUCCAAGCAAGAAGUUCCCAUGUACACAGACCCUGAACCCAAGCAAGAAGUUCCCUUAUGUACACACCCUGAAUCCAGGCAAGAAGUUCUCUUAUGCACACACCCUGAAUCCAAACAGAAAUUACCUGUAGGUACGGACCCUGAAUUUAACCUAGAAGCACCCCUGUAUACAAACCCUGAAACUAAACAAGAGGAUCCUGUAAAUAUGGGGUCUGAAGUCAAGCAACAAAUAACUAUGGUUUCGGAUCCUGAAAUCUUAAAGGUCGCCAGAGCGCAUCACGUCCAGGCAGAGAGCUACCUGGUGUACAAUGUCAUGAACAGCGGAGAGGUCGAAUGCAGCAACAGCCUGGAGGAUGCGAUGGACCAAGCUCUGCCCAGCCAGGCCUUCGUCUACCGCCCAGUGCGGCAGCGGGUGUACUCCCUCUUGCUGGGGGAUGGCGAAGGUGGUGCCAGCGCCUGCCCCACCGUCAAGGAGUGGUUUGUGUACUCUGGGAACCCGCUGAGGCAGCCGGACCUCGUCAGGCCUCUGCAGAUGAGCAUUCCAGGGGGAGCGCCUAGUUUGAAGCUACUGUGGCUGAGCCAAGAGGCAGGACUCCAGGCCCAGCGCUUGGACACACUCCUAGCCUGUUUUGACCUUUCCUACUCGCGGGAAGAGCUGCAGGUGGUCGAGAGCCCCUUUCAAGCCUUGUGCUGCCUCCUGAUCUACCUCUUUGUGCAGGUGGACACCCUCUGUCUGGAGGAUCUGCACGCCUUCAUUGCGCAGGCCCUGUGCCUCGAAGGAAAGACCACCAUGGAGCUUGCAGACUUGCAGCUCGACCACGUCGACCCCAGGGCCGUGCAGCUGGGUACCCUCCUGGUCCGUGGCCUCACCACCCUGGUGCUGGUCAACAGUGCCUGUGGCUUCCCCUGGAAGACGUCGGACUUCAUGCCCUGGAAUUUGUUCGACGGGAAGCUAUUUCAUCAGAAGUACCUGCAGUCUGAGAAAGGGUACACAGCAGAGGCGCUUGUGGAACAACACAGGUCCCGGCUCACCAGAUUCCAUGCCCUGAAGUCAGUCGUGUGCAAGGCCUGCAUGAAGGAGAACAGACCCAUCGUCAGCAGGCGGCACUGGCGUUCACACCACUCAGGGCGGAGGGGCCAACAGGGAUCCAGCGCCCACAGGACGAGCUCUGGGUACAGCCGGUCUGGCCAAGGACAGCACUGGAGGGACCAGGGGCCAGGAAGUAGACAGUAUGACCCUGACCAAUGGAGAAGAUAUUAAUCAUCUUCUGGGUGACCAUGCCUGAAUACACGCUGUGACCCUCGGUGACAGAAUGAUCUGGGCCGUUCCGAGGUGUGUCAGUCCCUCUGAAGCCUCCCCGACCAGCCAGACCCCGCCCAGGUUGCAGCCGCCCUGCGGGUCGGUGACGAGCUGCCUGGGACAGCAGAGAGGGAAGGGGACUGUUUCCCCUGGUCCCUGGUCCCACUGAAAGGUUCAGGGGAGGCUGCUGUGGUGACCAGACAAGGCGGGGCUUCCGGGAGACUCCAGACAGCCAGGAAGGAGGUCAGGAAUCGCGGGCUCACCCCCCACCGCCCUGCUGUCAGGCAGGGUCUCACUGGGCAGCCCCAGACUUCAGCCGAGAUCCGCAGCAAGCUUCCCCGGGAGUCAGGAGGCUCAGAGGGUUGGGGUCAGACAAGCUGAGCAAAACCCGGGUGCCCCUGAAUCUCCCUGAGCCUCAAUUUCCUCGUCCAUAAAAUGGGGGCGUCCUUUCCAGGAGGUGCGGCGGAGCCAGAGGAGGCUGUGCUCGCCCCCAGCAGGUGCCGGCCGCCUCUCCUUCCUCUCUGUGUGCGUCUCUCCCCUGUCUCGCUGUCUCUCUCUGUCUGUGUCUGUCUCUGCCUCUGCUUCCUCCCCCAACAGUCAUGCCCUGGCUACCUGGCCUCGACGCUAAGCCCUGGACGUCCAGAAAACGCACGUAGGAGCCCCUGCAGUGCCCUUCUUGAGCCACCCCUGGUUCAGGGUAGCGUUUGAACCUGCCCUUGGCCCGAGAGGCAGAAGGCCCAGGGGGCUGACGGCAAACGGAGGGGACGGCCGGCUUCCCUGCAGGAGUUGGAACUUGAGACGGACAGGCAGCUGGCAGCUGAAGCCAGAGCCAGAAGACACACAGAGGACAGUCCUUGGCUCUCCCAGGAUCGCGUCUCCUUCCAAGUGGCCACACGAACUAGCUUGACGAGCUAAUCCCCAAACCGGAAAGAAAUGAGGCACCAUUGAAAGCAGUCAGGCAGAUGUCACCUAGAUGGUGGCUCUCCCUCUCCUCUGCCCAGAAGGCUGAUGUGGAAACUGAGGCACAGACAGGGCAGCCCCAGGGGUCUCACCCUGCGAUCUCACUGCAGAGCCUGAACUCCUAACGACCGCCGUCCUUCGCGGUUUGCAGGGAGCUGUCAGAAGCUAAGAGAUCUGUAACACUUUAGGCUGUGGGGUCAGAGGCGACCUCUUCGCCUCUCCAGCUACCGUGAAGGUGGGGAAGGAUUUAGCCUCUCUGAGUCCCAGGCUCCUCAUCUGUGCGACAAAGCAGGGCUCCUGCAGGAUUAAACGGCAUGAAUUCUGUUACAGAAGACGCGGCCCUCCUGGUCAGAGCCGAGCCUCCAGGCUGAGAGGGGCUGGUGAGGGCGGAGUCUGAGGACUGUUCCUCGGGCAGGAGUUUUCCUUUGUCCCCUCGGUUGCCGCCCUCCUACCUCUACCCCACGGGGCGCCGUCUGAUGGCUCUGGCAGCCCUCCUGCCAAGGCGUUUCUGUCCAGGGCGACUCCCCAGCUUGUGUCUGCUGGCUCCCAGUGUGGCUUCACGUUCAUGACAUAGAAUCGCAGAGUCCCCUCAAAACCCGUGUUCUCGAAGGAGCGGAGGGUCGGAGGCCUGAAGCGGUCUGUCCCGUGUCACGGGCUGUGCAGUCCAGACGGUCACCAGUCCAGCAGGGGCUGGACCCACUCGUUCACCGAAACCGCUUGCUGCCCACCCUGAGCGCCAGGCCCCCGUCCAAGCGAGCAAAGCCGCGUGAAGCUUCGCCCUCCGGGCUGCAGCCGAUGGCGGACAAGAUUACAGCCAACAGACACUGCGCAAGGGGCCACCGCGGGAAACGAUGGCGGAGGUGGGGAGGGCGUGGUGCUCCGGAAAGAGACGAGGGAAGCCCAUCUUCUGAGCGAGCCACCCACGCAGGGCGUCCCACAGGCUGGGCGGGCAGUGCCAGCUUCCUGCCCGCUCUCAGGAGCCCUGCUCCCCCGCCAGCUUACGUGUGGCCUCCUGCCCCGCCUCUCGGGCCCAGGCUCUCUGAGCACCUACUGUUUACACCCGAGCAGGGACAGAGUGAGGCUCCGCCCAGAGUGGGGCGCAGGGGCUGGGAAACCAGCAGGUGCUCUGGGCAGAGAGCUCAGCAGAAAAGGGACUAUCUGGAAACAGCCCUCUGACCUACAUGCCACAGGGCGGGAAUGUGUCAGCUUCCGGAAGCGUCCGGGCGACAGAGCUCCCGGGUUUCAGCACCACCCCCCACGGCCCCUGGGGAGGCACAGGGACUCCCAGAAGGGAGGAGGGCAGUAACCCCCUCUUAUCCUCAAGCCUGUCUGUGCCUUCCCUCACUGUCAUUACCACAUCUGUGAACAUCUGGAUCCCAGAGAAACAGGGCACUGGAUCAGAUCUCUAGUAGCCAGGUUCUUAGGCAAAUUUUUCCCCUUUAAACGAAGUAAGUCUAUUAAAGAAUACGAGAGACAACAAACAGCUCUGGACACAUGGCCUGCUGCGGCUAAAAGAAAUGAAGGUUUCUUCAUUUGGGAAAGGCUUUGGGGAGACAUCUCGGCUCUGGGAAAUAGAGCACAGCUAAUGUCUGGGAGGAGGGCUCCUGUGCUCCGACGUUUCGCGUGUUGAUGGCCGUUGUGUGGUGUUUGUCGUGCUGUGUCGUGUUGCUCGCUUGCCUUUCUUUCUGGGAGGCUGUGCAUCUCCGAUCUUCUCCUUCCUUGGAAAUUUUUAGCAAGUAGGCAAAUUCACGAGUAUGAAAUCCAUGGGUAAUGAGGAUUGACUGUAUACAUAUGUACACAUACAUGUAGUCUCAGGGUAUGUACAUGUGAGAUGGGCACCAAACAUAGGCUGCAUUGAAGUUGCCAUCCGUGUAUCGUGCUACUUUCGUGUGCCCUGUUUGCUCCAAGCACUGGGACUGAAACACUGAGAGACACAGAGUUGCUGCUCCCAGAGGCUUUAUUCUAAAGGGAGAGACUGAGUAAACUCAAGACAAGUGAACAAAUAGUUGCAGAUUAUGCUAAUUACUAGGAACAAAAUAAUCAGUUUGCUCUUCCAAAGAAUUAAGUACUCAGACAGGGUAGAUGAGAGAGAGGACAGCUGGCACCUGAAGAGCCAAGGGAAACCCUUCCUAACGGCGUGAGGACGUCUGUCUGGGGAGGGGAGAAGGCAAGGUGGCUGGUGGCCUGGAGGCCCGAAGUGGCUGGCGAGGCUCCAGAGCCCCAGGCCUGGGGAGCGGUUAGUUCUGUGGACGAGAAUGGAGCUGGUGGGAGUGGUUAGUGGGUUUUUGACUCUUUAUGUAAUUGUGGGUUUUUAACGAGAAGGUAUAGUCAUGUAGCAUAAUAUACUAACAAAAGUUUAAAGAACAAAAGCCAAGCGUAUCCAAGUUCCUUCAAGAGUGGCCUCCAGAGCCCUAAGAAACACCCACAACCAGAACUUGGAUAAGGAAGGAGAAAGCCCCAGAGAAUGCGCUGUCACAAAGCCGAGACAGACGGAAGGGAGUCCAAGCAAGAGAAUUCUUUCUUAGAUUUGGCCUGAGUACAUCCGUGGUGUCUUGACGAGAGCCCUUCGAUGUGUCAGAGUGCAGGAGGGCACGUGGAGGGAAGGAUCUCAAAGCAGCGUUUACAGAAAGCGUUUUGAGGAAUUUGACUCUAAAGAGAAUCAGAGUAAUGGAGCGGUAGCUGGAGGGGGGUUAGGAGGCCGGAGAGGUUCUCUUGUUUCUUUAUGUGGGAGACCCGAAAGCACAUCAGUUUACCAGUGAGGACGACCGGGUCCUAAAGAAAGAUCAGUAAUUCACAGCGGAGGAGGGCGUAGUGGGAGGAAAGAAGACCUAGACAAUGAGAGGGAAUGGGGUCAGAAAUUCCUGUGAAAUAACUGAUCUUUGUUAGGAGGAAAGACCUUCUCCAGUUGUAUCUGGAUGGAAUAAAGAGAGAAAGGUGCAGAUAGGAGUAUAGACUUGGGAGGAGAGUAUAAUACAUCAGGGGCUUCCCUUCCCUGGUGGCACAGUGGUUAGGAAUCUGCCUGCCAAUGCAGGGGACACGGGUUCGAGUCCUGGUCUGGGAAUAUCCCACAUGCCGCGGAGCAACUAAGCCCGUGUGCCACAACUACUGAGCCGGUGCUCUAGAGCCCACGAGCCACAACUGCUGAGCCUGCGUGCCACAACUACUGAAGCCCGCCUGCCUAGAGCCCGUGCUCCGCAACGAGAGAAGCCACCACAAUGAGGAGCCCGUGCACCACAACAAAGAGCAGCCCCUGCUCGCCACAACUAGAGAAAGCCUGCGCGCAGCAACGAAGACCCAAUGCAGCCAAAAAUAAAUAAAUAAAUAA